Tieghemiomyces parasiticus is the source of this 85-nucleotide non-coding RNA. NCBI's taxonomy places the organism in Eukaryota, Fungi, Kickxellomycota, Dimargaritomycetes, Dimargaritales, Dimargaritaceae. The record is from the annotation of a GenBank genome assembly.
GGAAAAAUAACCUAAUUGGUAAGGUAGAAACCUGCUAAGUUUCACAAUUAUAUGAUUGUUGUGAGUUCAAGUCUCACUUUUUCCG